RNAcentral lists this transfer RNA (71 nucleotides) under Pangasianodon hypophthalmus (striped catfish). RNAcentral describes it as "tRNA-Glu". Lineage: Eukaryota; Metazoa; Chordata; Actinopteri; Siluriformes; Pangasiidae. The record is from RNAcentral.
UCCCUGCAGGACUAGUGGUUAGUCCACAGCGCUCUCACUGCUGCAGCCCGGGUUCGACUCCGGCCAGGGAA